Long non-coding RNA from Carica papaya (papaya), 374 nucleotides. RefSeq lists it as uncharacterized. The record is from RefSeq and is a predicted model, not a curated record. Lineage: Eukaryota; Viridiplantae; Streptophyta; Magnoliopsida; Brassicales; Caricaceae.
AUUUAAGGGCUCUCUUCUGUCAAUACUUAACCCUAGCUGCUAGAAGAGAAAUGAAAGGGUCAGAGAGAGUUGCCGAAAAUAGGAAACAAGCAACGGAACUUGGCAGACGUGUUAGAGAACCAAACCGACGAAACGUAGAACCCGAGAACCCCACCAGUCCUCUAAAUGCCUAUCACGUCUUGAUCUUCUCUUUUUUUUAAUGGAGAAGUGCCAGACUUCAUCGCCAUGAACCCAAGGCAUUUUUGGCCCUACACUUGGGAGAACCCGGUUCCCGAACCCAAUCCACAAGAAGGCUACGAGUAGAUGCUAGAUACUUUAUAGUUUCUUUUAUUUUUCUAUUUUUUAUAUUUCUUUCAGAGAAUUUGUUCUGUGAU